Molecule: non-coding RNA, 325 nt
Organism: Plectropomus leopardus (leopard coralgrouper)
Lineage: Eukaryota; Metazoa; Chordata; Actinopteri; Perciformes; Serranidae
Source: RefSeq, a predicted model, not a curated record
GUGAGCUGAUCACAGACAGGUGAGCUGAUCACAGACAGGUGUGCUGAUGACAGACAGGUGAGCUGAUAACAGACAGGUAAACUGAUAACAGACAGGUGAGCUGAUAACAGACAGGUAAACUGAUGACAGACAGGUGAGCUGUUCAUAGACAGGUGAGCUGAUAACAGACAGGUAAACUGAUGACAGACAGGUGAGCUGAUGACAGACAGGUAAACUGAUGACAGACAGGUGAGCUGAUAACAGACAGGUGAGCUAAUAACAGACAGGUGUGCUGAUGACAGACAGGUAAACUGAUGAUAGACAGAUGUGCUGAUCACAGACAGGU